RNAcentral lists this ribosomal RNA (253 nucleotides) under uncultured bacterium. RNAcentral describes it as "partial 16S ribosomal RNA". It matches the Rfam family "Bacterial small subunit ribosomal RNA", at positions 524 to 776 of the family's 1533-position model. The record is from RNAcentral.
UACGGAGGGUGCGAGCGUUGUCCGGAAUCACUGGGCGUAAAGGGCGCGUAGGCGGCCUGAUAAGUAGGGGGUGAAAUCCUGCGGCUUAACCGCAGGGCUGCCUUCUAAACUGUCAGGCUUGAGCACAGUAGAGGCAGGUGGAAUUCCCGGUGUAGCGGUGAAAUGCGCAGAUAUCGGGAGGAACACCAAUGGCGAAGGCAGCUUGCUGGGACGGUACUGACGCUGAGGCGCGAAAGCGUGGGGAGCGAACAGG